RNAcentral lists this ribosomal RNA (494 nucleotides) under uncultured bacterium. Its description in RNAcentral is "partial 16S ribosomal RNA". It matches the Rfam family "Bacterial small subunit ribosomal RNA", at positions 28 to 507 of the family's 1533-position model. The record is from RNAcentral.
GACGAACGCUGGCGGCGUGCUUAACACAUGCAAGUCGAACGGUGAAGCGCCUUCCUUUUUGGUGGGUGUGGAUGAGUGGCGAACGGGUGAGUAACACGUGAGUAACCUGCCCCCUUCUUCUGGAUAACCGCAUGAAAGUGUGGCUAAUACGGGAUAUUCUGGGUCUGUCGCAUGAUGGGUCUGGGAAAGAUAUUGUUUCGGUGGGGGAUGUGCUCGCGGCCUAUCAGCUUGUUGGUGGGGUGAUGGCCUACCAAGGCGGUGACGGGUAGCCGGCCUGAGAGGGUGGACGGUCACACUGGGACUGAGACACGGCCCAGACUCCUACGGGAGGCAGCAGUGGGGAAUAUUGCACAAUGGGCGCAAGCCUGAUGCAGCGACGCCGCGUGAGGGAUGGAGGCCUUCGGGUUGUGAACCUCUUUCGCCAGUGAAGCAGGCCUGCCUCGUUUGUGGGUGGGUUGACGGUAGCUGGAUAAGAAGCGCCGGCUAACUACGUG